Molecule: ribosomal RNA, 1372 nt
Filed under: uncultured bacterium
Lineage: Bacteria
Description: bacterial SSU rRNA
Rfam family: Bacterial small subunit ribosomal RNA
Source: RNAcentral
GAUGAACGCUGGCGGCGUGCCUAAUACAUGCAAGUCGAGCGAACGGACGAGAAGCUUGCUUCUCUGAUGUUAGCGGCGGACGGGUGAGUAACACGUGGAUAACCUACCUAUAAGACUGGGAUAACUUCGGGAAACCGGAGCUAAUACCGGAUAAUAUUUUGAACCGCAUGGUUCAAAAGUGAAAGACGGUCUUGCUGUCACUUAUAGAUGGAUCCGCGCUGCAUUAGCUAGUUGGUAAGGUAACGGCUUACCAAGGCAACGAUGCAUAGCCGACCUGAGAGGGUGAUCGGCCACACUGGAACUGAGACACGGUCCAGACUCCUACGGGAGGCAGCAGUAGGGAAUCUUCCGCAAUGGGCGAAAGCCUGACGGAGCAACGCCGCGUGAGUGAUGAAGGUCUUCGGAUCGUAAAACUCUGUUAUUAGGGAAGAACAUAUGUGUAAGUAACUGUGCACAUCUUGACGGUACCUAAUCAGAAAGCCACGGCUAACUACGUGCCAGCAGCCGCGGUAAUACGUAGGUGGCAAGCGUUAUCCGAAAUUAUUGGGCGUAAAGCGCGCGUAGGCGGUUUUUUAAGUCUGAUGUGAAAGCCCACGGCUCAACCGUGGAGGGUCAUUGGAAACUGGAAAACUUGAGUGCAGAAGAGGAAAGUGGAAUUCCAUGUGUAGCGGUGAAAUGCGCAGAGAUAUGGAGGAACACCAGUGGCGAAGGCGACUUUCUGGUCUGUAACUGACGCUGAUGUGCGAAAGCGUGGGGAUCAAACAGGAUUAGAUACCCUGGUAGUCCACGCCGUAAACGAUGAGUGCUAAGUGUUAGGGGGUUUCCGCCCCUUAGUGCUGCAGCUAACGCAUUAAGCACUCCGCCUGGGGAGUACGACCGCAAGGUUGAAACUCAAAGGAAUUGACGGGGACCCGCACAAGCGGUGGAGCAUGUGGUUUAAUUCGAAGCAACGCGAAGAACCUUACCAAAUCUUGACAUCCUUUGACAACUCUAGAGAUAGAGCCUUCCCCUUCGGGGGACAAAGUGACAGGUGGUGCAUGGUUGUCGUCAGCCCGUGUCGUGAGAUGUUGGGUUAAGUCCCGCAACGAGCGCAACCCUUAAGCUUAGUUGCCAUCAUUAAGUUGGGCACUCUAAGUUGACUGCCGGUGACAAACCGGAGGAAGGUGGGGAUGACGUCAAAUCAUCAUGCCCCUUAUGAUUUGGGCUACACACGUGCUACAAUGGACAAUACAAAGGGCAGCGAAACCGCGAGGUCAAGCAAAUCCCAUAAAGUUGUUCUCAGUUCGGAUUGUAGUCUGCAACUCGACUACAUGAAGCUGGAAUCGCUAGUAAUCGUAGAUCAGCAUGCUACGGUGAAUACGUUCCCGGGUCU